Molecule: ribosomal RNA, 1888 nt
Filed under: human gut metagenome
Description: bacterial LSU rRNA
Rfam family: Bacterial large subunit ribosomal RNA
Source: RNAcentral
UCAAGCUAGAAAGAGCGCAAGGGGAAUGCCUUGGCAUCAGGAGCCGAAGAAGGACGUGACAAGCUGCGAUAAGCUGCGGUGAGCUGCACAUAAGCUUUGACCCGCAGAUUUCCGAAUGGGGAAACCCGGCAGAGCAAUACUCUGUCAGCGUGCGUUGAAUCAAAUAGGCGUACGCGGGGAACCGCCUGAACUGAAACAUCUAAGUAGGGCGAGGAAGAGAAAUCAACCGAGAUUCCGCUAGUAGUGGCGAGCGAACGCGGAAGAGGGCAAACCGGAGGAUUUAUCCUCCGGGGUUGUGGACAGUUUUUUAGCAACUGGAACUAGGAGAACGGUAUGGGAAGGCCGGCCAUAGCGGGUGAUAGCCCCGUAUCCGAAAGGGAAGGUUGUGCGACUGGAUCCAGAGUACCGCCGGACACGUGAAACCCGGUGGGAAGCUGGGGGGACCACCCUCCAACCCUAAAUACUACCUGAUGACCGAUAGAGGAGCAGUACCGUGAGGGAAAGGUGAAAAGGACCCCGGGAGGGGAGUGAAAGAGAACCUGAAACCUUGUGCUUACAAGCACUCAAAGCCCGUUAAAGGGUGAUGAGGUACCUUUUGUAGAAUGGUCCGGCGAGUUAUUGUUACUGGCAAGCUUAAGGCAUUCAGUGCCGGAGGCGCAGGGAGACCGAGUCUGAAUAGGGCGUAUGAAGUCAGUGGCAAUAGACCCGAAACCGGGUGACCUAUCCAUGGGCAGGUUGAAGUGGGGGUAAAACCCCAUGGAGGACCGAACGCACGCCCGUUGCAAUGGUCGGCGAUGACCUGUGGAUAGCGGUGAAAUUCCAAUCGAACUCGGAGAUAGCUGGUUCUCCCCGAAAUAGCUUUAGGGCUAGCGUUGGCUUAGAUUACCGGAGGUAAAGCACUGAAUGGGCUAGGGGCCGAUAAGGUUACUGAACCCUAUCAAACUCUGAAUGCCGGAUAAUUGAUGGCCAGCAGUCAGUCUACGUGAGAUAAGUCUCGUGGACAAAAGGGAAACAGCCCAGACCCACAGCUAAGGUCCCAAAGAUACGCUAAGUGGAAAACGAUGUGGAGUUGCGAAAACAACCAGGAUGUUGGCUUAGAAGCAGCCACUCAUUAAAAGAGUGCGUAAUAGCUCACUGGUCGAGUGACUCUGCGCGGAAAAUAUAACGGGGCUAAGCGUAACACCGAAGCUUGGGCUGCACAGCAAUGUGCGGGGUAGGGGAGCGUCGAAUAUGGGGUGAAGUCGCAGCGGAAGCAGCGGUGGACUGUAUUCGAGUGAGAAUGCCGGAAUGAGUAGCGAGAAUUAUGUGGGAAUCAUAAUGGCCGAAAAUCUAAGGUUUCCUGGGGAAGGUUCGUCCGCCCAGGGUAAGCCGGGAGCUAAGGCGAGGCCGAAAGGCGUAGUCGAUGCACAUACGGUUGAAAUUCCGUAGCCACCGAACCUUAAGUACACUGACACAUGGAGAUAGCGGGACCCGGGCGUUGGUUGACCCGGGCGUAAGGGACCGAACUUUAGUAGGGAAGUCCGCGAUGCUCUGUGGCGAGAAAAGGUGUAUGGUAUGCUAAGGUGCCCGUACCGCAAACCGACACAGGUAGAUGAGGAGAGAAUCCUAAGGCCAACGGGAGAAGGGUUGUUAAGGAACUCGGCAAAAUGACCCCGUAACUUCGGGAUAAGGGGAGCCUCCUACGGGAGGCCGCAGCGAAUAGGCCCAAGCGACUGUUUACCAAAAACACAGGUCUCUGCUAAAUCGAAAGAUGACGUAUAGGGGCUGACGCCUGCCCGGUGCUGGAAGGUUAAGAGGAGAUGUUAGCCGCAAGGCGAAGCAUUGAAUCGAAGCCCCAGUAAACGGCGGCCGUAACUAUAACGGUCCUAAGGUAGCGAAAUUCCUUGUC